AUUGUGAAUUUUGUUUACAGAUAGAUUUUUGUGUGUGUGUGUGUGUGUGUGUGUGUGUAAGUGUUGGUUUGAUUUGGAACAAGCCUGGUAGGUGGCUUUGUGAGUUACCUGUCAAUGUUCAAGUGUGUUUACUUCAUUAAUGGUUUCUGAGUGUGAAAGUUUGUUUCACUUCUGCUCUCGCUUCCGGAGCCUAUGGUUUCCUCAUCACCGUGACACUCCCAAGCCUGCUGCUAACAUACUGCUGCAGAAGAGAAUGUCAUCGCAUGGGAUUACAACCUUAAACAAAAGUCACAACGGCCAGGCAGUCAAUCUCAGGCCAAAUACAGAAGAAAAGAAAUGAAGAAUUAAGAGAAACAUUCUCCAAGGUUGAAGAACUGUAUAAUUACGUCAUUAUUCAAUUUCCUGGUUAACAGGUAAUCCCAGUCUGUUUUAUUAAGUCUUGCCGUAAAACCUACCUUGAUUUGAUCCUGUUGAGUCUUGAUGUCUAUCACUGUUUAAGUAGAAGGAGACAUUAUUUAUGCCAAAAGUAUCUAAAAGACUGCUGUGGGCUAAAGGCAGCCUCUUCACAGGCAGAGAUGUAACAGAGGCCGUAAGGUAAUUAUCUGGCUCUCUGUUUGCAUCAGGACCAAGAGCAAUAGCUCAGCACUGAAUCC
RNAcentral lists this long non-coding RNA (653 nucleotides) under Numida meleagris (helmeted guineafowl). RNAcentral's name for it is "lncRNA (ENSNMEG00000023110.1)". The record is from RNAcentral. Lineage: Eukaryota; Metazoa; Chordata; Aves; Galliformes; Numididae.